RNAcentral lists this ribosomal RNA (253 nucleotides) under uncultured bacterium. RNAcentral's name for it is "partial 16S ribosomal RNA". It matches the Rfam family "Bacterial small subunit ribosomal RNA", at positions 524 to 776 of the family's 1533-position model. The record is from RNAcentral.
UACGAAGGGGGCUAGCGUUGUUCGGAAUCACUGGGCGUAAAGGGCGCGUAGGCGGCUUGAUAAGUCGGGGGUGAAAGCCUGUGGCUCAACCACAGAAUUGCCUUCGAUACUGUCGAGCUUGAGACCGGAAGAGGUAAGUGGAACUGCGAGUGUAGAGGUGAAAUUCGUAGAUAUUCGCAAGAACACCAGUGGCGAAGGCGGCUUACUGGUCCGGUUCUGACGCUGAGGCGCGAAAGCGUGGGGAGCGAACAGG